ACUCCAGGCUGAAAAUCAGAAUAAAUCAGAGCUCAGAGCUGGACUUUACUGUAAUGGACUUUAUUAAAGCAGAUUGUACUGUAGUGCAGGGGGGCUUUACUGUAAAAUAUCACCAUCUCAUACUGUAACGUCUAAAAAGUAAAUCUACACACACUGACGCACCAUGACUAACUUUUCCUGCAUCUGCACCGUGUGGAUCAGUGCCUGGGUGGACCUCCUCUCUGCAGAACCUGAGAUCAGUGUAUCUGGCCCAGUGGGUUCUACAGCUGUCCUGCCGUGUCAACUGACGAGUGGAGACACUGAGAGACUGUACAUUGGAUGG
Clarias gariepinus (North African catfish) is the source of this 322-nucleotide long non-coding RNA. RefSeq lists it as uncharacterized. Lineage: Eukaryota; Metazoa; Chordata; Actinopteri; Siluriformes; Clariidae. The transcript has 3 exons. The record is from RefSeq and is a predicted model, not a curated record.